RNAcentral lists this ribosomal RNA (292 nucleotides) under uncultured bacterium. Its description in RNAcentral is "partial 16S ribosomal RNA". It matches the Rfam family "Bacterial small subunit ribosomal RNA", at positions 505 to 796 of the family's 1533-position model. The record is from RNAcentral.
GUGUCAGCCGCCGCGGUAAAACGUAGGAGGCAAGCGUUAUCCGGAGUUACUGGGCGUAAAGCGCGUGUAGGUGGGUUGGUAAGUUACUUAUGAAAGCCCUUGGCUAAACUAGGGGAGGUUGAGUGAUACUGCCAGUCUUGAAUAGAGGAGAGGUUGACGGAAUUCCGCGUGUAGUGGUGAAAUGCGUAGAGAUGCGGAAGAACACCAGUGGCGAAGGCGGUCAACUGGCCUCAUAUUGACACUCAGACGCGAAGGCAUGGGUAGCGAACGGGAUUAGAAACCCUCGUAGUCC